CAGCACUCUGGAGACAUCCGUAGCACGGGGGCCGAAGGUGAAAGCGCAAGCGAAUCUCUCAGGCAAAAGGACAGAGCAG
This 79-nucleotide non-coding RNA is filed under the name bovine gut metagenome. RNAcentral's name for it is "Glycine riboswitch". The stretch from base 6 to 76 matches the Rfam family "Glycine riboswitch aptamer", at positions 9 to 86 of the family's 94-position model. From Rfam's summary of the family: This family represents the bacterial glycine riboswitch. Glycine riboswitches usually consist of two metabolite-binding aptamers domains with similar structures in tandem. The aptamers cooperatively bind glycine to regulate the expression of downstream genes. The record is from RNAcentral.